UAAUAUUUAGGGUCAUCCCUUUGUUUGGAUUUUAGAUAUGGAUGUCAACUGAAUUGUCCAUGUUGCAAAUUAUCCGUAUGCAUUUACUUACAUCUCUUUUUCAUUUCACUGUUUCAUUGUCCAUAUCAUUCUAACUUGUUUGCGGAUUCACAGAUGCUACAUACGUUGUGAGACAACUUAAUAAAAUAGUGAAUAACUAUUGGAGGGGGUCGUGGAAUAGUUACAGCAGCGCACCAAAACAAGUAAAGGAUUUGUGGUGGAAUAAGUUCAAGCGGAAGUUUAGCUGGGAUGAAAUGGAAGAGGAUGAAGUUAGAAGAAUUUUUAAGAAGAAAGCCGGUGAUCAUAUAUGAAAUGUGUGAAUAAAGCAAAAAGAAGUCAAUGGAAGCCGAUUUCAUUACUUGGUGACGAUUGGACAGAAAUAAAGAGAAUUUGGGAAAGUGAAAAGAAUAUGCAAAGAAGUGAACAGGACAAGAAAAAUCGAGCUUCUAGUUUUGUUGAAGGGUCUACGACAUAUGCUGGGGGUUCUAUCAACAUUGGGGAGCAUAAAAAAAGAAUGGUAAGUCUGUUUAACAUGUUGUGAGUUAAUUUAAUUUAAUUACUCAUUUAUGUUUCAAUUUUCUAGGCAAAUGAAUUGGGGACGGAACCGACAUUUACAGCUACAUUUGAACGCACAUUU
Molecule: long non-coding RNA, 676 nt
Organism: Rhodamnia argentea
Lineage: Eukaryota; Viridiplantae; Streptophyta; Magnoliopsida; Myrtales; Myrtaceae
Exons: 2
Source: RefSeq, a predicted model, not a curated record